Molecule: ribosomal RNA, 465 nt
Filed under: Vreelandella stevensii
Lineage: Bacteria; Pseudomonadati; Pseudomonadota; Gammaproteobacteria; Oceanospirillales; Halomonadaceae
Description: partial 16S ribosomal RNA
Rfam family: Bacterial small subunit ribosomal RNA
Source: RNAcentral
CCUACGGGGGGCUGUAGUGGGGAAUAUUGGACAAUGGGCGAAAGCCUGAUCCAGCCAUGCCGCGUGUGUGAAGAAGGCCUUCGGGUUGUAAAGCACUUUCAGUGGGGAAGAAAGCCUUGGGGCUAAUACCCUCGAGGAAGGACAUCACCCACAGAAGAAGCACCGGCUAACUCCGUGCCAGCAGCCGCGGUAAUACGGAGGGUGCGAGCGUUAAUCGGAAUUACUGGGCGUAAAGCGCGCGUAGGCGGUCUGAUAAGCCGGUUGUGAAAGCCCCGGGCUCAACCUGGGAACGGCAUCCGGAACUGUCAGGCUAGAGUGCAGGAGAGGAAGGUAGAAUUCCCGGUGUAGCGGUGAAAUGCGUAGAGAUCGGGAGGAAUACCAGUGGCGAAGGCGGCCUUCUGGACUGACACUGACGCUGAGGUGCGAAAGCGUGGGUAGCAAACAGGAUUAGAUACCCCUGUAGUC